Oryza nivara is the source of this 207-nucleotide non-coding RNA. Lineage: Eukaryota; Viridiplantae; Streptophyta; Magnoliopsida; Poales; Poaceae. The record is from Rfam.
AAAAAGACAAACCUUGAGUUUUUUUUUCCAACGUUUGACUAUCCGUCUUAUAUGAAAUUUUUUUAUAAUUAGUAUUUCCAUUAUUGUUAAAUAAUAAAACAUGAUUAAUACUUUAUAGGUGACUCAUCUUUUUAAUUUUUUUCAUAAUUUUUUCAAAUAAGACGGACGGUCAAACGUUGGACACGGAAACUCAGAGUUUGUCUUUUU